ACAGAGGUGGCAAGCGUUGUUCGGAAUUACUGGGCGUAAAGGGCGCGUAGGCGGCCCUCUAAGUCAGACGUGAAAUCCCCCGGCUUAACCUGGGAACUGCAUUCGAGACUGCAUUGCUAGAGUAUGGGAGAGGGAAGUGGAAUUUCAGGUGUAGCGGUGAAAUGCGUAGAUAUCUGAAGGAACAUCAGUGGCGAAAGCGACUUCCUGGACCAAUACUGACGCUCAUGUGCGAAAGCGUGGGGAGCAAACAGGA
RNAcentral lists this ribosomal RNA (253 nucleotides) under uncultured prokaryote. RNAcentral describes it as "partial 16S ribosomal RNA". It matches the Rfam family "Bacterial small subunit ribosomal RNA", at positions 525 to 777 of the family's 1533-position model. The record is from RNAcentral.